Thunnus maccoyii (southern bluefin tuna) is the source of this 1439-nucleotide long non-coding RNA. RefSeq lists it as uncharacterized. The transcript has 3 exons. Lineage: Eukaryota; Metazoa; Chordata; Actinopteri; Scombriformes; Scombridae. The record is from RefSeq and is a predicted model, not a curated record.
AUGUUGUUUUUUAGUCUACACAGCACAGCCAAGCAGUAAAACAUGCAGGCUCAGUGCAGCCCCGUAGAGUUUUUUGGUUUGAUCUUUGUAGUAGAGCUGUAUCUAUGCAGUGUGAUGCAUCUGCAAGGGCAGAAUAACCAUUUUUAACAAGAGUCUACAGCCAUGCUUGCAGCUCUGUGAGGUGGUAGGUCCCCUCCACAUAAUCAGUCCACAAUGAGGUGCACCUGGCCAGGGGGGAAGGGUUAAAUGCUCCAGGUUCCUGCUGCAGAGAAGAGGCUUCUUGUUUGUGGACUGCUAGUCUUGCUGCCUCUCGGCCUGGGAUUUUAUUUUAUUCAGUGUUUCUGUAUUUUGAUUGCUUAUAGUAUUUAUUUAGUGUCUUGGUUGUUUUGUAUGUUUUUGUUAAUAAAUCCCAUGGUUUGAAUAUUUUGAAAGGUGUUGGGGUCUUACUUUGGGUAAAUGGAGAAUUGUUGUUUCUUUUAACAUUAAUGUCUUAGCACAGAAAGAACAAAAACUAAAUCCAGUAACUUCUCUUUUUUGUUUGUUUUCAAAACUUAUUUGAUUAACAUUUAUUUCCUCCUCUACAACACAUAUAAAUGCUUUCAUGAACUGGGAACAUGUUAAGACCUUGCUAUACUGGUAAUGGAGAGAGCAAACACUUUGAUUUCAAUGAAAAUUGUGUUGAUUCAAUAUAUUUUAAAUUCAAAUGACAAAACCCAGAACUUAAAGAGAGUCUUCUACAAUAUGUCAGUACUCAUUCUAACAUACUAUGCAGUCAAAGCACAUCCCUUUUUGUUUUUGGCAAAAGAUGAGAGAAUGAGAGAUGAAAGAAGAAUGAACAUGUGAUUCCCUCUGUUACAGCAGAGUCUGUUCAUUAACAAGCAUUAUUCAUAACAUUCUUUCAAGUCCAUUGUCAAUCAAUAUUUCCAAACUCAAGAGGAUUUUUAAAAUUUCAGGCUUAGUCCAGUCUUCGUCCUAGCGUUGUCAAUUAAAGGUCAAAGAAACAACUCAAAUGUAUUCCUUUUCAAAAAACAGUGAACAAAAUAAACAAGCAGGCGGUCAUGUCAAUCUGUCAGGGAUGCAACACGGUAGGAUUUGUUUGGUUGAGAUAAUUUGGUGUUUUUUGUGGAUAUAGUGCUUCAGUUCAGUUCCACUUUUUCACACUGCACAGGUUUUUCUUGUGCUGCUUCCAAUACCUGUCAAAAACCAGCCUCUGCUUUGAACUACCUCUCACCUGGACGAGUGACCACCUGCUCCCCGGCUGAGCAGCGGAGACACAGCUUCAUCUCUGUGUUAAUGGCUGACGGCUGAGUGGUUGUGGCAGGCAGCCUUCUGCAGCCUCCGUGCCUCGCGUGUCACCCAAGGGCCCGGUGGAUGGGAGUGGAUGGGUGUGAAAGUGGAGACGGUUAGCACUUCCACAUCUGUCAGCUGGGGUUGGCAAC